UACUCUUUGCCAAUCGCUC
This 19-nucleotide unclassified non-coding RNA is filed under the name Mus musculus (house mouse). RNAcentral describes it as "oocyte_clustered_small_RNA4379". Lineage: Eukaryota; Metazoa; Chordata; Mammalia; Rodentia; Muridae. The record is from RNAcentral.